ACUACCACAUUUUCUUCUAUAUAUAGAUUGUAUAGGAAUUGUAAUUUAUCAAUCUUGUAAUACAUCAAGAUAUCCAUCAAUAAUACAAUUUAUUCUCUUUCUCUCUCUAUCAAUAUUUCUAACAGAACGGCAUUGGUUGAUAGUAAAUUGAAGAAUAUAUGAAUUUUAAUAUAAUUAGAAAUUAUGAUUUAAUAAGAUUUUAUUUUUGGAUUUUAUUUCUUUAUCAGUAGUUGCCAAUUCCUUAGUUUCCUAGUUUUGGGUUUCUUAAUUAAAUAGUGCUUAUGUCUAUAUAUAUGCUUUUAUGUAAUAGUUUUGGAUACUUAGACUUUAAUGAAUUUGAUAAUUAUUAUUGAGAGGUGUUGUUUCGGGAUUGUGAUCCCUGAUUUAUUCUUCUUCUUCCUUUUUUUUUGUGUGAUAAAUAUGCAUUGGAAAAUCAUCAAGAUGAUGCAAAGAAUACAAAAAUUCGUUCAUUCUUCUUCUUGGAGCUCCUUAGCCUCAACCCUAGGCAUUGAGGGACACUUCAGAGGCAUACCACUUGACUUGUGCAUCUUGCAAGUUGAACUCUUUAUGGAACUAGUGAAAGCAAAGAACUCAGAGUUAAAAAUUAAUCUUGACCAUCCUAAAUUAAAUGGAGAAAAAACAGUCCAAAAUGCAAUUACAGAAUUGGCGGCAAUGAUGGGAGAGAAUGUAAAGCUUAGAAGGGGUAUUGCAAUGUCUGCUCCUUCAGGGGGUAUUAUUUCUACAUAUCUCCAUUCGAGCCCUCAACCAGGU
Molecule: non-coding RNA, 771 nt
Organism: Camellia sinensis
Lineage: Eukaryota; Viridiplantae; Streptophyta; Magnoliopsida; Ericales; Theaceae
Source: RefSeq, a predicted model, not a curated record